This 440-nucleotide ribosomal RNA is filed under the name uncultured bacterium. RNAcentral describes it as "partial 16S ribosomal RNA". It matches the Rfam family "Bacterial small subunit ribosomal RNA", at positions 338 to 795 of the family's 1533-position model. The record is from RNAcentral.
CCUACGGGAGGCAGCAGUGGGGAAUAUUGCACAAUGGGGGAAACCCUGAUGCAGCGACGCCGCGUGAGUGAGGAAGUAUUUCGGUAUGUAAAGCUCCAUCAGCAGGGAAGAAAAUGACGGUACCUGACUAAGAAGCCCCGGCUAACUACGUGCCAGCAGCCGCGGCAAUACGUAGGGGGCAAGCGUUAUCCGGAUUUACUGGGUGUAAAGGGAGCGUAGACGGCUAAUCAAGUCAGAAGUGAAAACCCCGGGCUCAACCUUGGGACUGCUUUUGAAACUGAGUAGCUAGAGUGCAGGAGAGGUAGGCGGAAUGCCUGGUGUAGCGGUGAAAUGCUUAGAUAUUAGGCAGAACACCGAUGGCGAAGGCAGCUUACUGGACUGUAACUGACGUUGAGGCACGAAAGCGUGGGGAGCAAACAGGAUUAGAUACCCCAGUAGUC